Molecule: ribosomal RNA, 303 nt
Filed under: Duganella violaceipulchra
Lineage: Bacteria; Pseudomonadati; Pseudomonadota; Betaproteobacteria; Burkholderiales; Oxalobacteraceae
Description: partial 23S ribosomal RNA
Rfam family: Bacterial large subunit ribosomal RNA
Source: RNAcentral
AUAGGUAUGCAAAGCGAACGCGGCGAACUGAAACAUCUAAGUAGCUGCAGGAAAAGAAAUCAACCGAGAUUCCCAAAGUAGUGGCGAGCGAAAUGGGAUGAGCCUGCACGUUUUAGCAUGACGCAUAACAGAAUCCUCUGGAAAUAGGAGCCAUAGCGGGUGAUAGCCCCGUAUGUGAAAUGCGAUGUGUGGAACUAAGCGUGCGACAAGUAGGGCGGGACACGAGAAAUCCUGUCUGAAUAUGGGGGGACCAUCCUCCAAGGCUAAAUACUCGUAAUCGACCGAUAGUGAACCAGUACCGUG